UUAAAAGAUUCAUACAUAUAGAAGGUAGUAAAUGUUGUCUUCAAUUGCAUGUGUUCAGUUGCAUGUGUUCAGUUGCAGUUAUCUUCAUGGCAACAGGAGGGGUACCACAAAUGUUUAGCUUAUUUUUAAUAAGGAUUGGAUACUUCCCACAAGGGUAAUAUUUUUUUUUUUCCAUUACAUUUGAGUUCUUUUGGCCAAACAUGCCUCAUGUUGUCAUGUGUCUUAAAAAAACAUCAUUGAUGAUGCUCAAAACAUUUUGAUAAAGGAUGAAUUGCAACACAUACCACUAAAAGCAAAGUGACACUUUUUGAGGAUUCUGGCUGACGUAUGCAAAAAACCCAGUAUGAAGCUAUAGAAUAAAAUUAAAUAAACUGCUUUUUACCCGUAAAACCUGUGUUGCAGUUCUGCACUCUUGUGCUCCCUAAUAAAAUUAUUCAAUGCAAAGUAUUUUAACUUUUUUUUUUUCUCCUAAUGUCUUUAAAAAUCAGAUUGAAGAAUGGCAGAGCAGCUGAAGCUGAGAGUCAUUGUGGCAGAUGAUGAUUUUAGGAGACUUGACGUUCCAUCUGGGAUGCCAAGAACUUUGACUGAUCUUCAGAGCACAAUUUGCCAAGCAUUUGGAAUUGAAAGAGACUUUCGUAUUCAAUUCAUGGAUCCUGACUUCAAUAAUGAGUUUAUGAACAUAACAUCAAUGCAAGACAUUCAAGACCGAAGUACAAUCAAACUUGUGUACAUGGCAAAUCUGGAUACAAGUGCAUCUUUGUCAAAGCAGUAUCCCACACAGUAUCCCACAUGCAAAAUUGACCUCAGCCUAAAAAGGCUGAGGUCAAUUUUUGUCCAUUACACCCAGCUGGCGAAACGGAUGACAGUCUAGAAAACAUCAGGGUUGAGCUUUUGACCGACGUCAGACGAAGAAACAGUGCCUCAGAUGUAAGACAGAAGAUGUCAAGAACAUUUUCCUACCGUAGACAAGAGGUGGUGCAGGGAAGUCCAACUGCUGGGGAGUUUAAAGCUAGGUGGCCUGCACUUUUCCAGAUUAAUGAGGUAAAUGCUGAAUUCCAGCGUAUUACAACACUUCAACUGGAGACGACCUUCGCGGCACAGUUAGACAGAAUUACACCUCGGCUGAUGACAGUUUUCCAGAAGAAGGGCGGUGUUUCUGGGCAGAAACUUGCCCACCACUUGCAGAUCAUGCAAGAGG
Astatotilapia calliptera (eastern happy) is the source of this 1198-nucleotide long non-coding RNA. The record is from Ensembl. NCBI's taxonomy places the organism in Eukaryota, Metazoa, Chordata, Actinopteri, Cichliformes, Cichlidae.